CCCUUAGACGUUCUGGGCCGCACGCGCGCUACACUGACCAGUGCAACAAGCAUCCGUCCUUGGCCGACAGGCCCGGGCAAUCUUUGAACGCUGGUCGUGAUGGGGAUAGACUUUUGCAAUUUUUGGUCUUCAACGAGGAAUUCCUAGUAAACGCAAGUCAUCAACUUGCAUUGAUUACGUCCCUGCCCUUUGUACACACCGCCCGUCGCACCUACCGAUUGAAUGGUCCGGUGAAGCCUCCGGACUGGCGUGAGUCGGAGCAAUCUGACAAACACCGGAAAGUUGAUUAAACCUUACCAUUUAGAGGAAGGUGAAGUCGUANCA
This 324-nucleotide ribosomal RNA is filed under the name uncultured eukaryote. RNAcentral describes it as "partial 18S ribosomal RNA". It matches the Rfam family "Eukaryotic small subunit ribosomal RNA", at positions 1470 to 1796 of the family's 1831-position model. The record is from RNAcentral.